GAUGAACGCUGGCGGCGUGCCUAAUACAUGCAAGUCGAGCGAACAGACGAGGAGCUUGCUCCUCUGACGUUAGCGGCGGACGGGUGAGUAACACGUGGAUAACCUACCUAUAAGACUGGGAUAACUUCGGGAAACCGGAGCUAAUACCGGAUAAUAUAUUGAACCGCAUGGUUCAAUAGUGAAAGACGGUUUUGCUGUCACUUAUAGAUGGAUCCGCGCCGCAUUAGCUAGUUGGUAAGGUAACGGCUUACCAAGGCAACGAUGCGUAGCCGACCUGAGAGGUGUACCGGCCCACCUGAACCUGAGCCCCGGCCCAGACCCCUACGGGAGGCAGCCGUAGGGAAUCUUCCGAAAUGGGCGAAAGCCUGACGGAGCAACCCCGGGGGGUUGAUGAAGGUCUUCGGAUCGUAAAACUCUUUUAUUGGGGAAAAAAAAAUGUGUAAGUAACUAUGCCCGUCUGGACGGUACCUAAUCAAAAAGCCACGGCUAACUACGU
RNAcentral lists this ribosomal RNA (496 nucleotides) under uncultured bacterium. Its description in RNAcentral is "partial 16S ribosomal RNA". It matches the Rfam family "Bacterial small subunit ribosomal RNA", at positions 28 to 506 of the family's 1533-position model. The record is from RNAcentral.